Molecule: ribosomal RNA, 484 nt
Filed under: uncultured bacterium
Lineage: Bacteria
Description: partial 16S ribosomal RNA
Rfam family: Bacterial small subunit ribosomal RNA
Source: RNAcentral
AUUGAACGCUGGCGGCAGGCCUAACACAUGCAAGUCGAGCGGAUGAAGGGAGCUUGCUCCUGGAUUCAGCGGCGGACGGGUGAGUAAUGCCUAGGAAUCUGCCUGGUAGUGGGGGAUAACGUCCGGAAACGGGCGCUAAUACCGCAUACGUCCUGAGGGAGAAAGUGGGUGAUCUUCGGACCUCACGCUAUCAGAUGAGCCUAGGUCGGAUUAGCUAGUUGGUGGGGUAAAGGCCUACCAAGGCGACGAUCCGUAACUGGUCUGAGAGGAUGAUGAGUCACACUGGAACUGAGACACGGUCCAGACUCCUACGGGAGGAAGCAGUGGGGAAUAUUGGACAAUGGGCGAAAGCCUGAUCCAGCCAUGCCGCGUGUGUGAAGAAGGUCUUCGGAUUGUAAAGCACUUUAAGUUGGGAGGAAGGACAGUAAGUUAAUACCUUGCUGUUUUGACGUUACCAACAGAAUAAGCACCGGCUAACUUCGUG